RNAcentral lists this ribosomal RNA (1040 nucleotides) under uncultured bacterium. RNAcentral's name for it is "partial 16S ribosomal RNA". It matches the Rfam family "Bacterial small subunit ribosomal RNA", at positions 8 to 1025 of the family's 1533-position model. The record is from RNAcentral.
AGAGUUUGAUCCUGGCUCAGAACGAACGCUGGCGGCGUGCCUAACACAUGCAAGUCGCACGCAGUUAAGGGGGCAACUCCUUGAUUGAGUGGCGCACGGGUGAGUAACACGUAGGUAACCUGCCCUUCACUGGGGAAUAACCUGUCGAAAGACGGGCUAAUUCCGCAUACGUCCAAGACUGCUCCGGCAGAUUUGGGGAAAGGCGGCCCGCAAGGGCUGUCGGUGAUGGAUGGGCCUGCGUACCAUUAGCUAGUUGGUAGGGUAAUGGCCUACCAAGGCUACGAUGGUUAGCUGGUCUGAGAGGAUGAUCAGCCACACUGGAACUGACACACGGUCCAGACUCCUACGGGAGGCAGCAGUGGGGAAUAUUGCGCAAUGGGCGAAAGCCUGACGCAGCAACGCCGCGUGAGGGAUGAAGGUUCUCGGAUUGUAAACCUCUGUCGGGGGGGACAAAACCUAUGCUGGCUAAUAUCCAGCAUAAUUGAUGGUACCCCCAAAGGAAGCACCGGCUAACUCCGUGCCAGCAGCCGCGGUAAUACGGAGGGUGCAAGCGUUGUUCGGAAUUAUUGGGCGUAAAGCGCACGUAGGUGGCUUUAGAAGUCCGGUGUGAAAUCCCUCGGCUUAACCGAGGAAGUGCGCCGGAAACCAUAAAGCUAGAGUAUCGGAGGGGAGAGUAGAAUUCCCAGUGUAGAGGUGAAAUUCGUAGAUAUUGGGAGGAAUACCGGUGGCGAAAGCGACUCUCUGGACGAUUACUGACACUAAAGUGCGAAAGCGUGGGUAGCAAACAGGAUUAGAUACCCUGGUAGUCCACGCCGUAACGAUGGGUACUAGUGUCACGGGAUUUGACCCCUGUGGUGCCGUCGCUAACGCAUUAAGUACCCCGCCUGGGAAGUACGGCCGCAAGNUGAAACUCAAAGGAAUUGACGGGNNNGCACAAGCGUGAGCAUGGNGGUUCAAUUCGACGCANNCGAGANNUACUAGCUUGACAUUGUNNAGAUCUGAUGAAGUCGGAGUGCCCNCANNANNUCUANCCNNNNUGC